AAAUUAUCAACCAUGACUUGGGUUUAGGCCCUUGUUCUUGGCUUGGAUUUGGGUGCUUGCGGUCUUGCGCUGCUCACCUUAAAAGGAUUAGCUGGACAUGUCGUGAGACUUGGUUCUACUUGGCGUAAUAAGUAUUUCGCUGAGGACAUCCCUUCUGGGGUGGCCAGGAAUCUGACAAACGUCUGCUUUCUAACUCGACUGUCCUUGGACAUCACUUUUUUAUG
This 224-nucleotide unclassified non-coding RNA is filed under the name uncultured Tremellomycetes. RNAcentral's name for it is "sequence contains ITS2". The record is from RNAcentral. Lineage: Eukaryota; Fungi; Basidiomycota; Tremellomycetes.